RNAcentral lists this ribosomal RNA (463 nucleotides) under uncultured bacterium. Its description in RNAcentral is "bacterial SSU rRNA". The stretch from base 76 to 463 matches the Rfam family "Bacterial small subunit ribosomal RNA", at positions 39 to 455 of the family's 1533-position model. The record is from RNAcentral.
UAUGACCAUGAUUACGCCAAGCUUGGUACCGAGCUCGGAUCCACUAGUAACGGCCGCCAGUGUGCUGGAAUUCGCCCUUCAGGCCUAACACAUGCAAGUCGAGCGAGACCUUCGGGUCUAGCGGCGGACGGGUUAGUAACGCGUGGGAACGUGCCCAAAGGUACGGAAUAGCCUCGGGAAACUGAGAGUAAUACCGUAUGUGCCCUUCGGGGGAAAGAUUUAUCGCCUUUGGAUCGGCCCGCGUUGGAUUAGGUAGUUGGUGGGGUAAUGGCCUACCAAGCCGACGAUCCAUAGCUGGUUUGAGAGGAUGAUCAGCAACACUGGGACUGAGACACGGCCCAGACUCCUACGGGAGGCAGCAGUGGGGAAUCUUAGACAAUGGGGGAAACCCUGAUCUAGCCAUGCCGCGUGAGCGAUGAAGGCCUUAGGGUUGUAAAGCUCUUUCAGCUGGGAAGAUAAUGAC